This 253-nucleotide ribosomal RNA is filed under the name uncultured bacterium. Its description in RNAcentral is "partial 16S ribosomal RNA". It matches the Rfam family "Bacterial small subunit ribosomal RNA", at positions 524 to 776 of the family's 1533-position model. The record is from RNAcentral.
UACGAAGGGAGCGAGCGUUGUUCGGAAUCACUGGGCUUAAAGCGUACGUAGGCGGCCAAGCAAGUCAGAAGUGAAAUCCCAGGGCUUAACCCUGGAAUGCCUUUUGAAACUGCAUGGCUCGAGACCUGGAGAGGUUGGCGGAAUUCCGAGUGUAGAGGUGAAAUUCGCAGAUAUUCGGAGGAACACCAGUGGCGAAAGCGGCCAACUGGACAGGUACUGACGCUGAUGUACGAAAGCGUGGGGAGCAAACAGG